This 172-nucleotide ribosomal RNA is filed under the name uncultured phototrophic eukaryote. Its description in RNAcentral is "partial 16S ribosomal RNA". It matches the Rfam family "Bacterial small subunit ribosomal RNA", at positions 338 to 524 of the family's 1533-position model. The record is from RNAcentral.
CCUACGGGAGGCAGCAGUGGGGAAUUUUCCGCAAUGGGCGAAAGCCUGACGGAGCAAUACCGCGUGAGGGAAGACGGCCUAUGGGUUGUAAACCUCUUUUUUCAGGGAGGAAUCAAUGACGUGUACCUGAAGAAUAAGCAUCGGCUAACUCCGUGCCAGCAGCCGCGGUAAU